UGUGAUAGAAUUUUAACUGGUAC
RNAcentral lists this non-coding RNA (23 nucleotides) under Rattus norvegicus (Norway rat). The record is from RNAcentral. Lineage: Eukaryota; Metazoa; Chordata; Mammalia; Rodentia; Muridae.